GCGUCGGUAGCGCAAUGGGGUAGAGCACGCGCCCUCGGAUAGGAUGUAAUGCAGGUUCGAGUCCCGCCUGACGCA
This is a non-coding RNA of Parelaphostrongylus tenuis, 75 nucleotides long. The record is from the annotation of a GenBank genome assembly. Lineage: Eukaryota; Metazoa; Nematoda; Chromadorea; Rhabditida; Metastrongylidae.